AGUUAGUGGUAAAGCCCUUGCAGUUGGUUAUGAAAUCUUUGCAGGAUCUUUAGUCACUAGCUGC
Molecule: microRNA precursor, 64 nt
Filed under: Nautilus pompilius
Lineage: Eukaryota; Metazoa; Mollusca; Cephalopoda; Nautilida; Nautilidae
Description: Npo-Mir-12506_pre stem-loop
Source: RNAcentral